CUUAGGAUGAACGCUAGCGACAGGCCUAACACAUGCAAGUCGAGGGGCAGCACAAGGAGCAAUCUGAGGUGGCGACCGGCGCACGGGUGAGUAACACGUAUGCAACCUGCCUGUAAGCGGGGAAUAACCCGUUGAAAGACGGACUAAUACCGCAUAAUACUAAAUUACUGCAUGGUAAUUUAUUUAAACAUUUAUGGCUUACAGAUGGGCAUGCGCAUGAUUAGCUAGUUGGAGAGGUAACGGCUCCCCAAGGCAACGAUCAUUAGGGGUUCUGAGAGGAAGGUCCCCACACUGGUACUGAGACACGGACCAGACUCCUACGGGAGGCAGCAGUGAGGAAUGUUGGUCAAUGGACGAGAGUCUGAACCAGCCAAGUCGCGUGCAGGAAGAAUGUCCUAAUGGAUUGUAAACUGCUUUUGCAGGGGAAUAAAGUGCAUCACGUGUGAUGUUUUGUAUGUACUCUGCGAAUAAGGAUCGGCUAACUCCGUGCCAGCAGCCGC
This 500-nucleotide ribosomal RNA is filed under the name uncultured bacterium. RNAcentral's name for it is "bacterial SSU rRNA". It matches the Rfam family "Bacterial small subunit ribosomal RNA", at positions 23 to 518 of the family's 1533-position model. The record is from RNAcentral.